RNAcentral lists this ribosomal RNA (738 nucleotides) under uncultured bacterium. RNAcentral describes it as "bacterial SSU rRNA". It matches the Rfam family "Bacterial small subunit ribosomal RNA", at positions 63 to 836 of the family's 1533-position model. The record is from RNAcentral.
CGCACGAGAAGGGAGCAAUCCUAAGUAAAGUGGCGCACGGGUGAGUAACACGUGGAUCAUCUACCUUUUAGUGGGGAAUACCUCUGGGAAACCGGAGACAAUACCGCAUAAGCCCGCAAGGGGAAAGCAGCAAUGCGCUGAAAGAGGAGUCCGCGGCCGAUUAGCUAGUUGGCGGGGUAACGGCCCACCAAGGCGAAGAUCGGUAGCCGGCCUGAGAGGGCACACGGCCACACUGGCACUGAAACACGGGCCAGACUCCUACGGGAGGCAGCAGUGGGGAAUCUUGCACAAUGGGCGAAAGCCUGAUGCAGCGACGCCGCGUGAGCGAUGAAGCCCUUCGGGGUGUAAAGCUCUUUCGACGGGAACGAUAAUGACGGUACCCGGAGAAGAAGCUGCGGCUAACUACGUGCCAGCAGCCGCGGUAAUACGUAGGCAGCGAGCGUUGUUCGGAAUUACUGGGCGUAAAGAGUGUGUAGGCGGUGUUCCCAGUCUGUUGUGAAAUCUCCCGGCUUAACUGGGAGGGUGCAGCGGAAACUAGAAUGCUAGAGGGUGGGAGAGGUAAGCGGAAUUCCUGGUGUAGCGGUGAAAUGCGUAGAUAUCAGGAGGAACACCUGUGGUGUAGACAGCUUACUGGACCACUUCUGACGCUGAGACACGAAAGCGUGGGUAGCAAACAGGAUUAGAUACCCUGGUAGUCCACGCCCUAAACGAUGCAUACUUGGUGUGAGCGAUUCAUUU